Small nucleolar RNA from Callithrix jacchus (white-tufted-ear marmoset), 70 nucleotides. Its record names the gene SNORD30. It matches the Rfam family "Small nucleolar RNA SNORD30". From Rfam's summary of the family: U30 is a member of the C/D class of snoRNA which contain the C (UGAUGA) and D (CUGA) box motifs. The record is from Ensembl. NCBI's taxonomy places the organism in Eukaryota, Metazoa, Chordata, Mammalia, Primates, Cebidae.
CUCUGUGAUGACUUAAAUAGAAUCUCGUUCGGCUGAUAACUUGCUGUUGAGACUCUAAAAUCUGAUGUUC